RNA transcript from Schistocerca piceifrons (Central American locust), 2666 nucleotides. It is a transcript of the gene named zinc finger protein 239-like, with no coding region annotated. The transcript is spliced from 2 exons. The record is from RefSeq and is a predicted model, not a curated record. NCBI's taxonomy places the organism in Eukaryota, Metazoa, Arthropoda, Insecta, Orthoptera, Acrididae.
GAAUGAGUUUUAUAUAUAUUAAGUUUUGGAUUUUAUCUUAUAUUUAUCCGUUUUAUUCCUAACAGAAGACUAGAUCAAUUUAGUUGGUUUCAUUUACCUGUAGUCAGGUGACCAUGUUGAUAGACAUUAAGGCGUUACUACCUGAAUUUAAUCAGUUCCAUAAACGACAGUGUGUGUUUGAAGUUGAUUUGGUGCUGUGUGGGUGACAGUAUGGACACGAAACAGUGAAUCGGAUUGUGUGUGCAGGGUCAAGAUGAACUCUGUUGAAUCUAUUUUAAGAGCUAACAGAAAACUAAAUUACCAGGAUAAGUUAGCUGCAAAGGAACUAGGGCCUCCCAGACCAGAUCUCUUGAUUGAGAAUGUGACAAAAUCAGUUAAGCGUGACUACAAGCGAACAUUUAACAAAGAAUUGUAUGAUAAGCACAAGUGGCUGUGUGGGUGCAACUUAAGACAGGCACUGUAUUGUUUCCCAUGUCUGAUUUUCAGCCCGGAAGUCAAUUCGUGGACUAAUAAAGGUGUUAGAGAUCUUGUACAUUUGUCUGAAAAAAUAAAAAAGCAUGAAAAAUCCCAUGUACACAAAAAUGCAAACAUUGAACUCUCAGUUCUUGGUAAAGUGAACAUCAGUACUCAGCUUGACGGUGUAUACAGAGAGUCUGUCAGGAAACAUAAUGAGCAAGUGGACAGGAAUAGACAUAUCCUCUCCAGGUUAAUAGACUGCAUAAAAUUUUGCGGGGCAUUUGAGUUAGCUUUACGUGGUCAUGAUGAAAGGGAAGAUCCAGAAAACCCAGGAGUCUUCCGUGGGCUUGUAAAUUUAGUAAGUGCUAUUGAUGGCUCAAUGAAGGAGCACUUAGAAACAGCAACUGUAUUUAAAGGUACAUCCAGAACAGUUCAAAAUGAGCUUCUGGAUUGUAUGCUAAGUGUAUGCAGAGAAAUUAUAACGCAAGAAAUUUUAAAUGCGCAUUAUUUGGCUAUAAUGGCAGACGAAACAACAGAUGUGUCCACCAUGCAACAGUUGGUGAUUGUGUAUAGAUACGAACUUAAUGGCUCUGUUGUGGAGAGGUUUUGGGGCUUCUUUAACCCUGACACACAGGAUGCUGAGACGCUAUUUAAGGUGAUAAAGUCUGAAUUGCAAAAGCAUGCAGAUGGAAAGAAGGAAAAAGUGAUCGCACAAUGCUAUGAUGGUGCUGCUGUUAUGAGUGGAGGCAUCAAUGGUGUUCAGGCAAGGAUUAAGCAGAUGUAUCCAAGGGCUUAUUACAUUCACUGCUACGCUCAUCAACUUAAUCUGGUUUUGCAAAAAGCUGCAUCUAUAAACAAAUCUGCUAGAAUAUUUUUUUCUAAUCUCUCAGGCUUUCCAGCUUUUUUCUCCCGGUCGUCACACGGAACAUGUGUGCUAGACAGAGUUGUGCAAACUAGUCUACCACGGAUAGCAGCUACAAGAUUGGUGUUUAACAUUCAGACAGUCAACACAAUUAGAGAGAACAAGGAAAGUAUGAUAGAGUGUUUAGGAGAAAUUACCCUCUCUGAUCGUGUAGAUGACAAAACCAGACGAGAAAGUUAUGGCCUCCUCUCCAAUUUGAAAAAUCCUGAGUUCUUGUUUUGGCUAGAAUUUUUUCAUAGGAUCAUGCCACAUGCAGAUAUACUUUUCAGGAAACUACAACAACAGAAUGUUGAAGCGAUAACUGCUAGACAAUACUUAUUGGAGUUUGAAGAUGUAAUUACAAGAAUAAGAACUACUGCCAUUGAAGAAAUUUCAUUUGCCACUGAAGAAAUUUCGUCAUCGUGUGAAGAACAAAUUCAGAAGAAAAGAAAAUCAGAAAACAAAGUAGAAGAUGCGAAGGAAGUUUGUGAUGCCAUAAUAAGUCAUAUGAAUGAAAGAUUUUCAUUCACUGAUCACCUUGUGGCAUCAAAAUUGUUAGAUGUGAACUCAUUUUCUCUGUUUUCGACAAAUUUUCCUGAGAGAGAACUUGAUAUUACUGUUGAAAUGUACCCAUGGUUAUCGAAGGUGCAGCUGAGAACAGAGCUAGAAGUACUCUACAGUAGAAAAGACUUCCAACGCGCAGGUGGUGCUGUUGCAAUUCUACAGCUUCUAUUAGACAACAAAUUGGAUCUAGACACUUUUCCGCAGUUGUGUGAACUAAUGAGGAUAAUUAUAACUACUCCUCUUGCAACAGUUGAACCUGAACGUUGUUUCUCAACAAUGAAAAGGAUAAAAACCUUUCUUCGAAACACAGUGACAGAGAACAGGCUUUCGGCAUUGGCAAUGCUCGCAAUUGAGAAAAAGUUUGUUAAUCAUACUAAAGACUUCAAUCAUAGAGUGAUUGAGACAUUUGCUCGAUUAGAAAACAGACGCAUGGAUUUUCUUUAUAAAUAGGCAAUGUCAGUCAUGCUGCAGUGUAGUUUUCUCUGUUUAAUAUAUACCUACAGUACAGUGUAAUGUGUAUUAAUAUUAACUUUUGUGUGGACUAUACGGAAGAAUAGGACAUUUCGUAAGAAGAGGUUAUGCCUGUUUCCUGAUUCAGAAACUGAGAUUUGGUGUGUGGAAAAGCUGUUACAAGAAGCGCUGAUUCUCCUGCAAGUGAUAUCCCCCCUGUCUGCCAAGAAUGUGAGGAGAAAGCAUUUUCACAUUGCCUUGCUUUGUCGUGGCAUGCUCAUAUGCAGACACAGAA